UGGGGACUAUUGCACAAUGGGCGCAAGCCUGAUGCAGCCAUGCCGCGUGUAUGAAGAAGGCCUUCGGGUUGUAAAGUCCUUUCAGCGGGGAGGAAGGUGUUGAGGUUAAUCACCUCAGCAAUUGACGUUACCCGCAGAAGCAGCACCGGCUAACUCCGUGCCAGCAGCCGCGGUAAUACGGAGGGUGCAAGCGUUAAUCGGAAUUACUGGGCGUAAAGCGCACGCAGGCGGUCUGUCAAGUCGGAUGUGAAAUCCCCGGGCUCAACCUGGGAACUGCAUUCGAAACUGGCAGGCUAGAGUCUUGUAGAGGGGGGUAGAAUUCCAGGUGUAGCGGUGAAAUGCGUAGAGAUCUGGAGGAAUACCGGUGGCGAAGGCGGCCCCCUGGACAAAGACUGACGCUCAGGUGCGAAAGCGUGGGGAGCAAACA
Molecule: ribosomal RNA, 427 nt
Filed under: uncultured bacterium
Lineage: Bacteria
Description: partial 16S ribosomal RNA
Rfam family: Bacterial small subunit ribosomal RNA
Source: RNAcentral